UCAGCCAAAAGGCCUUUCCUUCCCUCCUUCCACCAUGUGAGGUCACAGCUAAAAGGCACUAUCUAGGAACCUGACCCUCAUCAGACAGAAUCUGGCAGCACCUUGAUCUUGGACUUAGCCUCCAGAAUUAUAAGAAAUAAGCUUCUGUUGUUUAGAAGCUAUCCAACAUAACUCCCCAUUACCGACAAAGACAGGCUCUUGACUAUGAAAGGCAGGGCGGGAAACCACCAGCAAGAGUAAGGGGAGGGAGGAACAGAGAGCCUGUGGUAAGAGACCCUGCAGAACAGGAGGUGUGGCCCUUGCAUAAAGCCACAAUCAGUCCCAGUGACCCUGCCGGGAAGGAGCACAACCUGCAAGAGAUCAGGGUGAGGAGAGUAGGUCCAGGAUAUUUUAAUAAGCAUGAAUACUAGCAGGCAUGUGUUUGGGACUGGCUGGGUUGCUGCCCACAACUUACCAAGUAAGGGUGGGUGAGUGGGGUGAGUUCCUAGGAAUGCAUGGACCCAGUCCUGGCAUCUACCACUCGCCCCACAGCUUGCCCAGUUUUGGUCAUAACUCCUGUUAUCAGCAUCCAGUAGGAUGGGGAUCGUGUGAUUGUCAGCUUCUCCAGAACAACAUGGAAUGGAAGAGGUUGUUCCCCCAAAGGAAAAUAUGCAUGGGGAAGUGUGAUGGCAGGAACACCCAUUGCCGGGUAUACUGGAUAAGCAGGGUGGCUUGGAGGAACCAGUAUGUGUGGCUCACAAGAGCAGACUAUCCGAUGUUCAAGAAUUUUGUGAACUGUUAAACACAACUAUUAUUAAAAAAUU
Molecule: long non-coding RNA, 803 nt
Filed under: Marmota monax (woodchuck)
Lineage: Eukaryota; Metazoa; Chordata; Mammalia; Rodentia; Sciuridae
Source: RNAcentral